CUGUACUAGUCAGUGGCUGCAAGUGUACUGUGUGACCGUCGCAUUCAAAAUGACUGACUGAGUAGAGCAACAAAUCUGCAUCAAAAAUUGCUUUAAGCUAAACAUUUCGGAAGAUUCAGAAGGCUUUCAGGGAUGAUGCAAGGAGUGGCACAAACGCUUCAUAGAUGGUCAAGAAUCUGUUGAAUAGCCUGGCUUUUCCCAAAACUAAAACCACCUAUGAAAGGGAAGAGCUUUCAGACCAUUGAUGAGAUUCAGGUAAAUACAACAAGGCAGCUGAUGGCAAUUCCAGCAAAGGAGUUUGUAGAGUGUUUUGAACAGUGGAAGAGACGCUGGGAGAACUGUGUGAGGUCCCAAGUUGCCUACUUUGAAGGAGACUGAGGAG
Non-coding RNA from Pelobates cultripes (western spadefoot toad), 382 nucleotides. NCBI's taxonomy places the organism in Eukaryota, Metazoa, Chordata, Amphibia, Anura, Pelobatidae. The record is from the annotation of a GenBank genome assembly.